This is a long non-coding RNA of Cryptomeria japonica (Japanese cedar), 387 nucleotides long. RefSeq lists it as uncharacterized. The record is from RefSeq and is a predicted model, not a curated record. The transcript has 3 exons. Lineage: Eukaryota; Viridiplantae; Streptophyta; Pinopsida; Cupressales; Cupressaceae.
ACGGGAUUUUGCAUUAAACCAUAUUUCCAAUUUUUUUUCCAAAGGAAGAGAUUAAACAUGAGAAAAAAGAAACUCACCCUAAGCACCCAACUGAUUUAAAAAAAAAGUCACCUGUUACCGCCUCCAAGGACCCUCAUAAAUCUUCGAUACAAAACCCUCUACCAAACCAAAGGUCAUGUAUAUGUAUCAUUACACCUUUUAAUGCCCUACACAACUUUACCUAUUUCAGUGCAUUUGAUUUUCCGUAUCAGCCAGAUGUUCCUUUGCCUGCAGGACUGGUACUUCCAGGAGAUGAAGUAGAAGAUUCCAGUCAGGAGGACUUUCCACUACAUAGCGAAGACAAAUGGCAAGACCUUGCUUUGCACACUAUCAAAUGAAACCGGCUAG